AAAUAUUUAAUUAUUUAUCUUAUAUAUUUAUUUAAUAAAAAUAAUUUUAAUUGGUUAGUUUUUAGUAUAUUUUAUAGAAUAAAUUUUAUUAAUUAUAGUUUAUUAGUAUUGAGAAAGAAUUUUGAAAUAUAAUUUAUUUGUUUAUAAGUAAAAUUGAUUUUUUGUACCUUGUGUAUCAGGGUUUAUUAAAUAAAUAUUAUUGAUAUUAAUUUUCCCGAAUUUAAGAGAGUUAAUUAAUAAUUUUUGUUAUUGUAAAAAAAAUAUAAAUAAUUGUUAAUUAGUAAUGAAAAGUUAUUCGUUCUUAAAUAUAUCUGGUUUAUUUAGAAAUAAAUUUAAUUUAGUUAUUUUAAUUAUAUUUGUUUAAUUUUUUAAAUAUUUAUAUUUUUAUAGUAAUAAUUAAGGGGAUAAGCUUUUAAUUAAAAUCUUAUAAUUUAAUUAUUAUUUAAUAUUAAGUAGGUUUAGAAUUAUUCAUCAAUAUUAGUAUGUUAUAAUUAAUUUUUAAAUUUAUAUUAUUUGAAUUAUUAUUUAAGGUUUUAUAAAUAAAUAUUAUUUAAUUAUUAAUUAUUAGAUAUAAUGAUAAAAUUAGUAUAAUAAAAUAUUUAAAUAAUUUAUUUAUAGAGAUUAUUUAAAGGAAUUCGGCAAAAAUUUUAUUCGCCUGUUUAACAAAAACAUGUCCUUUAGAUUAAUAAUUUAAGGUCUGACCUGCCCACUGAAAAGUUUAAAUGGCCGCAGUAAUUUGACUGUGCGAAGGUAGCAUAAUCAUUAGUUUUUUAAUUAAAAGCUUGUAUGAAUGGUUGGACGAGAUAAAAUCUGUCUUUGAUUAAAUUUUAGAAUUUAAUUUUUAAGUUAAAAAGCUUAAAUUUUUAUAAAAGACGAGAAGACCCUAUAGAUCUUUAUAGUAUUUAAUUUAUUUUUAAUUAGGAUUAUUUUAUUAUUUAAAUUUAAUAUUAUUUUAUUGGGGUAAUAUGAAGAUUAGUUAAAUUCUUUAUUAUAUUUUUUCAAUAAUUUUUGUUUAUUUGAUCCUUAAUUUAAGAUUAAAAGAUUAAGUUACCUUAGGGAUAACAGCGUAAUUUUUUUAAAGAGUUCAUAUCGAUAAAAAAGUUUGCGACCUCGAUGUUGGAUUAAAAAUAAUUCUAGGUGUAGAAGUUUAGAGUAUUGGUCUGUUCGACCAUUAUAUUUUUACAUGAUCUGAGUUCAGACCGGUGUAAGCCAGGUCGGUUUCUAUCUUUAUUUAAUUAAUAUAUUUUAGUACGAAAGGACCAAAUAUUUAUUAUAUUUAUAUUUAUUUUUUGAAUAAUAUU
RNAcentral lists this ribosomal RNA (1301 nucleotides) under Necterosoma penicillatum. RNAcentral's name for it is "16S ribosomal RNA". The stretch from base 1058 to 1216 matches the Rfam family "Archaeal large subunit ribosomal RNA", at positions 2544 to 2703 of the family's 2987-position model. Lineage: Eukaryota; Metazoa; Arthropoda; Insecta; Coleoptera; Dytiscidae. The record is from RNAcentral.